This 508-nucleotide ribosomal RNA is filed under the name uncultured bacterium. RNAcentral's name for it is "partial 16S ribosomal RNA". It matches the Rfam family "Bacterial small subunit ribosomal RNA", at positions 30 to 523 of the family's 1533-position model. The record is from RNAcentral.
AUUGAACGCUGGCGGCAUGCCUUACACAUGCAAGUCGAACGGCAGCGGGGGAGAAGCUUGCUUUUCCUGCCGGCGAGUGGCGAACGGGUGAGUAAUACAUCGGAACGUGCCCUGUAGUGGGGGAUAACUAGUCGAAAGAUUAGCUAAUACCGCAUACGACCUGAGGGUGAAAGUGGGGGACCGCAAGGCCUCAUGCUAUAGGAGCGGCCGAUGUCUGAUUAGCUAGUUGGUGGGGUAAAGGCCUACCAAGGCGACGAUCAGUAGCUGGUCUGAGAGGACGAUCAGCCACACUGGGACUGAGACACGGCCCAGACUCCUACGGGAGGCAGCAGUGGGGAAUUUUGGACAAUGGGCGAAAGCCUGAUCCAGCAAUGCCGCGUGUGUGAAGAAGGCCUUCGGGUUGUAAAGCACUUUUGUCAGGAAGGAAAUGGCUCUGGUUAAUACCUGGGGUCGAUGACGGUACCGGAAGAAUAAGGACCGGCUAACUACGUGCCAGCCGCCGCGGUAA